RNAcentral lists this ribosomal RNA (750 nucleotides) under Halobacteriaceae archaeon GuD2. RNAcentral describes it as "bacterial SSU rRNA". It matches the Rfam family "Archaeal small subunit ribosomal RNA", at positions 52 to 802 of the family's 1478-position model. The record is from RNAcentral. Lineage: Archaea; Methanobacteriati; Methanobacteriota; Halobacteria; Halobacteriales; Halobacteriaceae.
UGCUAGUCGCACGGGUUUAGACCCGUGGCAGAUAGCUCAGUAACACGUGGCCAAACUGCCCUAUGGAUCGUGAUAACCUCGGGAAACUGAGGCUAAUCGCGAAUACAGCACCCAUGUUUGAACACAGGGUGCUAGAAACGCUCCGGCGCCAUAGGAUGUGGCUGCGGCCGAUUAGGUAGACGGUGGGGUAAUGGCCCACCGUGCCGAUAAUCGGUAUGGGUUGUGAGAGCAAGAACCCAGAGACGGUAUCUGAGACAAGAUACCGGGCCCUACGGGGCGCAGCAUGCGCGAAACCUUUACACUGCACGACAGUGCGAUAGGGGGACUCCGAGUGCGAGGGCAUAUAGUCCUCGCUUUUCUGUACCGUAAGGUGGUACAGGAACAAGUGCUGGGCAAGACCGGUGCCAGCCGCCGCGGUAAUACCGGCAGCACCAGUGAUGGCCGCUUUUAUUGGGCCUAAAGCGUUCGUAGCCAGGCCACUCAAGUUCGUCGGGAAAUCUGCCCGCUUAACGGGCAGGCGUCCGGCGAAAACUGAGUGGCUUGGGGCCGGGAGAUCCAAGGGGUACGUCCGGGGUAGGAGUGAAAUCCUGUAAUCCUGGACGGACCACCGAUGGCGAAAGCACCUUGGAAAAACGGACCCGACGGUGAGGAACGAAAGCUAGGGUCUCGAACCGGAUUAGAUACCCGGGUAGUCCUAGCUGUAAACGAUGCUCGCUAGGCGUGGCGCAGGCUACCAGCCUGCGCUGUGCC